AUACCUUCUUCCAAGGGAAUAAAUUCUCCAGAUACCAAUAAGGAUUUAAAAUAAGUGCUAACUGAGAAAAUAUCAUCCCUUGUCGACAUUCACUUGAUGCAGUCACUCUCUCCUACCCUGAUAUGCACUCCAUACAAAGAGGUCAAUAGCACUGCGUAAUCAUCCACUUCCCAAUCUUGUAGUCCUCCCAAAAAUAAUGUUCCAACUGAUGUUCCCGUUGUGUGUAUCUAAUACAUCAUUCACCAUAACAUAUGACAUCACGACAAUACGAUACAAAGAAUGAAAUCGCUCCCUUAAGGGUUGAUCAGUACACCAACAAUCAUCCCAAAAGCUAAUAGUAUUGCCAUUCCCCACACCGAAGGUCACUCUACUCCGAAAGUCACUCCACCUUCGUCAAAUAUACCGCCAUAAACUCACCCCGUAG
RNAcentral lists this long non-coding RNA (424 nucleotides) under Olea europaea subsp. europaea. Lineage: Eukaryota; Viridiplantae; Streptophyta; Magnoliopsida; Lamiales; Oleaceae. The record is from RNAcentral.